This is a long non-coding RNA of Phragmites australis (common reed), 367 nucleotides long. RefSeq lists it as uncharacterized. NCBI's taxonomy places the organism in Eukaryota, Viridiplantae, Streptophyta, Magnoliopsida, Poales, Poaceae. The record is from RefSeq and is a predicted model, not a curated record. The transcript has 4 exons.
AAACUAUCUAAACUAAUGAAUAAUCUUUUUCCUUUCAUUCAGACAUUCAUUCAUAAAGGUGAAGGCAGAUUUCGGUCGGUGAAACAAGUCCUCAAUCGUGUGGAUCAUUUGUGGAGUGUGAUGGAAAAUGAAAAGAAGCCAGAUGAUCAGAGUGAGGAAGGUUGUGGUGCAAUCAGCUGGAGGAAAGAGUGCUGCAGGUGCUAGUCAGUCGGCCGAAGGAAAUAGUGCUGCAGCAGGUGCUAAUCAAUCAUCUGAAGGAUACAACGCUGCAGGUUGUAGCCGUUUGGCUAAAGGAAAGAGCAUUGCCUAGACUUUUCGAAGUCAUGUUGCGUUGACAUAUGAUCUGGACAAAAGAGAAAGCUUCCUA